Molecule: ribosomal RNA, 441 nt
Filed under: uncultured bacterium
Lineage: Bacteria
Description: partial 16S ribosomal RNA
Rfam family: Bacterial small subunit ribosomal RNA
Source: RNAcentral
CCUACGGGUGGCAGCAGUGGGGAAUAUUGCACAAUGGGGGGAACCCUGAUGCAGCGACGCCGCGUGAGUGAAGAAGUAUUUCGGUAUGUAAAGCUCUAUCAGCAGGGAAGAAAAUGACGGUACCUGACUAAGAAGCCCCGGCUAACUACGUGCCAGCAGCCGCGGUAAUACGUAGGGGGCAAGCGUUAUCCGGAUUUACUGGGUGUAAAGGGAGCGCAGACGGCUGUGCAAGUCUGGAGUGAAAGGCGGGGGGCCCAACCCCCGGACUGCUCUGGAAACUGUAAAGCUGGAGUGCAGGAGAGGUAAGCGGAAUUCCUAGUGUAGCGGUGAAAUGCGUAGAUAUUAGGAGGAACACCAGUGGCGAAGGCGGCUUACUGGACUGCAACUGACGUUGAGGCUCGAAAGCGUGGGGAGCAAACAGGAUUAGAUACCCUUGUAGUC